AUGGGCCGCCUCCCUCCUCCUCCUUCCCAUCGGGAUCGGGCAGGAGGAGCGCAGGAAGGUCAUGGGUCACCUCCCUCAUCCUCCCCAUCGGGACCGGGCAGGAGGAUGAGCGCCCUCCCUCGUGACCGCCUCAACGGGAGAAGGGAUGCGGCCGUCGCUGCCGACGAGAACAUCGCUAGUGAGCGCGGUGGCAGCCAUCGACGACCUCGAGCGUGUGGGCGCGUUGGUGAGCGCGGCGGCGGUCGUGGCCGUGGCCGAGCUCGAGCCCUGGCGCAGCGGCGCGUUGUUGAGCACGGUGGCGGCCCGACCAUGGCCGAGCUCGAGCGUCUCAGUCUCCGAUGGCUCCUGCGUGUGCCGCUCCUGGGUUCUGAAGAGCCACUGUUUGUUCCGUUCGUCGAGGAUUCGACCGUCCUGCCGACUACUGCUGCGUUGAGAUGUUGCAAGGCUUCGGGUGUGUGA
Molecule: ribosomal RNA, 459 nt
Filed under: Triticum aestivum (bread wheat)
Lineage: Eukaryota; Viridiplantae; Streptophyta; Magnoliopsida; Poales; Poaceae
Description: partial small subunit ribosomal RNA
Source: RNAcentral